GACGAACGCUGGCGGCGUGCCUAAUGCAUGCAAGUCGAACGAGAGCGACCGGUGCUUGCACUGGUCAAUCUAGUGGCGAACGGGUGAGUAACACGUGGGUAACCUGCCCAUCAGAGGGGGAUAACAUCCGGAAACGGAUGCUAAAACCGCAUAGGUCUUCGAACCGCAUGGUUUGAAGAGGAAAAGAGGCGCAAGCUUCUGCUGUUGGAUGUACCCGCGGUGCAUUAGCUAGUUGGUGAGGUAACGGCUCACCAAGGCCGUGAUGCAUAGCCGACCUGAGAGGGUGAUCGGCCACAUUGGGACUGAGACACGGCCCAAACUCCUACGGGAGGCAGCAGUAGGGAAUCUUCCGCAAUGGACGCAAGUCUGACGGAGCAACGCCGCGUGAGUGAAGAAGGUUUUCGGAUCGUAAAACUCUGUUGUUAGAGAAGAACAAGUGCUAGAGUAACUGUUAGCGCCUUGACGGUAUCUAACCAGAAAGCCACGGCUAACUACGUG
Molecule: ribosomal RNA, 498 nt
Filed under: uncultured bacterium
Lineage: Bacteria
Description: partial 16S ribosomal RNA
Rfam family: Bacterial small subunit ribosomal RNA
Source: RNAcentral